This is a long non-coding RNA of Haliotis rufescens (red abalone), 376 nucleotides long. RefSeq lists it as uncharacterized. NCBI's taxonomy places the organism in Eukaryota, Metazoa, Mollusca, Gastropoda, Lepetellida, Haliotidae. The record is from RefSeq and is a predicted model, not a curated record. The transcript has 3 exons.
AGGGUUCAGUACAAGUUUAACCGAUUUAUGUGAUUUUCCCAGGUGUUGUUUGAUCGUCAUGAAGGCAGUUCUACUUGUGUUUGUCUGUCUGCUGGUGGCAGCACAGGUUGCCUGGUGCCAGACGACGGGAGAGUCAUGUGGCCAGUUCCCCGAGUGCGCAAGUCAUGGAGUGUGUAAGGUCACGUGUCCACACUGUUCCGGUCACACUGAGUGCGUGACAGACACCAGUCACAGGCUGUUCGGCAACUGUGUGUGCGUCCAUCAGGAUCGCGACUAAGCAAAGGAGAAUCAAUUACAGACAGUCCAACUAAACUGAAAACUCACGAAUGUUCCUGUUUCUCGAACUUCAUCAAUAAAAGCAUUUCUGCCCUGUCUA